UACACACCGCCCGUCACACCAUGGGAGUGGGUUGCAAAAGAAGUAGGUAGCUUAACCUUCGGGAGGGCGCUUACCACUUUGUGAUUCAUGACUGGGGUGAAGUCGUAACAAGGUAACCGUAGGGGAACCUGCGGUUGGAUCACCUCCUUACCUGAAAGAA
This 160-nucleotide ribosomal RNA is filed under the name Salmonella enterica subsp. enterica serovar Legon. RNAcentral's name for it is "partial 16S ribosomal RNA". It matches the Rfam family "Bacterial small subunit ribosomal RNA", at positions 1384 to 1533 of the family's 1533-position model. The record is from RNAcentral. Lineage: Bacteria; Pseudomonadati; Pseudomonadota; Gammaproteobacteria; Enterobacterales; Enterobacteriaceae.